RNAcentral lists this ribosomal RNA (508 nucleotides) under uncultured Glomus. RNAcentral describes it as "bacterial SSU rRNA". It matches the Rfam family "Eukaryotic small subunit ribosomal RNA", at positions 569 to 1084 of the family's 1831-position model. The record is from RNAcentral. Lineage: Eukaryota; Fungi; Glomeromycota; Glomeromycetes; Glomerales; Glomeraceae.
AGCAGCCGCGGUAAUUCCAGCUCCAAUAGCGUAUAUUAAAGUUGCUGCAGUUAAAAAGCUCGUAGUUGAAUUUCGGGACCAAUAUGUCGGUCGUGCCUCGGUACGUACUGGCAUCGUUGGUUUCUCCCUUCUGAAGAACCAUGAUGUCAUUCAUUUGGUGUCGUGGGGAAUCAGGACUGUUACUUUGAAAAAAUUAGAGUGUUUAAAGCAGGCUCACGCUUGAAUACAUUAGCAUGGAAUAAUGAAAUAGGACGUUUGAUUCUAUUUUGUUGGUUUCUAGGAUCGACGUAAUGAUUAAUAGGGAUAGUUGGGGGCAUUAGUAUUCAAUUGUCAGAGGUGAAAUUCUUGGAUUUAUUGAAGACUAACUAUGCGAAAGCAUUUGCCAAGAAUGUUUUCAUUAAUCAAGAACGAAAGUUAGAGGUUCGAAGGCGAUCAGAUACCGCCCUAGUUCUAACCGUAAACGAUGACAACCAGCGAUUAAUCGGCGUUAAUAUACGACCCGAUUAGC